GAGUUUGAUCCUGGCUCAGAACUAACGCUGGCGGCGUGCCUAACACAUGCAAGUCGAGCGGACACCAAUUUGUAGCAAUACAGGUGAAGUGUUAGCGGCAGACGGGUGAGUAACACGUUGGCAAUCUAUCUUUCCGACCGGGAUAACUAGCCGAAAGGUUAGCUAAUACCUGAUACGAUCACCGAGCGGCAUCGCAUGGUGAUGAAAGCAGUAAUGCGCGGAUUGAGGAGCCUGCGGCCCAUUAGCUAGUUGGUGAGGUAAUGGCCCACCAAGGCGACGAUGGGUAGCUGGUCUGAGAGGACGACCAGCCACACUGGGACUGAGACACGGCCCAGACUCCUACGGGAGGCAGCAGUGAGGAAUUUUCCGCAAUGGGCGAAAGCCUGACGGAGCGACGCCGCGUGCACGAGGAAGGUCUUCGGAUCGUAAAGUGCUGUCGAGGGGGACGAUUAUGACGGUACCCCUGGAGGAAGCCCCGGCUAACUACGUGCCAGCAGC
This 498-nucleotide ribosomal RNA is filed under the name uncultured Bacillota bacterium. Its description in RNAcentral is "bacterial SSU rRNA". It matches the Rfam family "Bacterial small subunit ribosomal RNA", at positions 9 to 515 of the family's 1533-position model. Lineage: Bacteria; Bacillati; Bacillota. The record is from RNAcentral.